RNAcentral lists this unclassified non-coding RNA (434 nucleotides) under Hevea brasiliensis (rubber tree). Lineage: Eukaryota; Viridiplantae; Streptophyta; Magnoliopsida; Malpighiales; Euphorbiaceae. The record is from RNAcentral.
AACGCAUAAUGAUUCUGGACAUAAUGACUGAAGCUGCUCAGGAGCUUGCUAAUGCGAAGAGUAUGAAACCUAAACAUCAAUCAACGGUCCUCAUAUCAACUAUAUCAGAGAAUCAACCCUGGUUCUUGCCUAGUAGCUCAGGACCUCCCGGAGCUGGUGCUUGGAAAGAGGUAUCAGAAACUGGAACUCUAUUAAACUAUUCAAAUCGUUAUGAGAGAGAACUUCCCCCUAAACCUGGUCAGAUCAGAAAAGGGAAGACUCGUCGUUGGAGCCUUAGAACACCAAAUAUGCAGGAAAACCAGUUAGAAUGGACCCAAAAUAAGUUUCCUGUUUAUGCAGCAGCAUUUAUGCUUCCUGCCAUGCAGGGUUUUGAUAAGAAACGACAUGGUGUUGAUUUGCUUGGUAGAGAUUUUAUUGUCCUAGGGAAACUCACC